RNAcentral lists this small RNA (2187 nucleotides) under Pongo abelii (Sumatran orangutan). RNAcentral's name for it is "retained intron". The record is from RNAcentral. Lineage: Eukaryota; Metazoa; Chordata; Mammalia; Primates; Hominidae.
GUGAAACUCUGAACCUGAAGUUCAUGGCUGAGGUGGGGACCAACCGGGGGCUGCUCCCAGAGCACUUCCUCUUCCUGGCCCAGAAGAUCUUCAAUGACAACAGCCUCAGCAUGGAGGCCUUCCAGCACCGUUCUGUGUCCUGGUCGCAGUUCAACAAGGAGAUCCUGCUGGGCCGUGGCUUCACCUUUUGGCAGUGGUUUGAUGGUGUCCUGGACCUCACCAAACGCUGUCUCCGGAGCUACUGGUCUGACCGGCUGAUCAUUGGCUUCAUCAGCAAACAGUAUGUUACUAGCCUUCUUCUCAAUGAGCCCGACGGAACCUUUCUCCUCCGCUUCAGCGACUCAGAGAUUGGGGGCAUCACCAUUGCCCAUGUCAUCCGGGGCCAGGACGGCUCUCCACAGAUAGAGAACAUCCAGCCAUUCUCUGCCAAAGACCUGUCCAUUCGCUCACUGGGGGACCGAAUCCGGGAUCUUGCUCAGCUCAAAAACCUCUAUCCCAAGAAGCCCAAGGAUGAGGCUUUCCGGAGCCACUACAAGCGUGAGCUGGAACUGGCAACUCUGAUUCCUUCCUGUCACCCACUUCCUCCCUGCUCCCCGCUGCCCUCCUCUCCCUGCCCGCGUGUGUCAUCCUGAUGUUACUCCCUAUUACAUAGCUGCGCUUCUCUUACUUCCCCAUCAUCCAUGCCCACCUUUUCCACCUCCCUGCCUCCCUAGCCCCAGAGCACUCCAUGGCUCUCUUUUCCUUCUCACAACAGCUGAACAGAUGGGUAAGGAUGGCAGGGGUUAUGUCCCAGCUACCAUCAAGAUGACCGUGGAAAGGUGAGUGUGGUGGUGUGGACAGUGGGUAGGUCAGGGGCCUAGUGCUUACCUGCAGGAAGGAGGGGUGGCAUCAACCCUUGGUCAGUCACAUGUACCUCCUUCCCUCCUCCAGGGACCAACCACUUCCUACCCCAGAGCUCCAGAUGCCUACCAUGGUGCCUUCUUAUGACCUUGGAAUGGCCCCUGAUUCCUCCAUGAGCAUGCAGCUUGGCCCAGAUAUGGUGCCCCAGGUGUACCCACCACACUCUCACUCCAUCCCCCCGUAUCAAGGCCUCUCCCCAGAAGAAUCAGUCAACGUGUUGUCAGCCUUCCAGGAGCCUCACCUGCAGAUGCCCCCCAGCCUGGGCCAGAUGAGCCUGCCCUUUGACCAGCCUCACCCCCAGGGCCUGCUGCCGUGCCAGCCUCAGGAGCAUGCUGUGUCCAGCCCUGACCCCCUGCUCUGCUCAGAUGUGACCAUGGUGGAAGACAGCUGCCUGAGCCAGCCAGUGACAGCGUUUCCUCAGGGCACUUGGAUUGGUGAAGACAUAUUCCCUCCUCUGCUGCCUCCCACUGAACAGGACCUCACUAAGCUUCUCCUGGAGGGGCAAGGGGAGUCAGGGGGAGGGUCCUUGGGGGCCCAGCCCCUCCUGCAGCCCUCCCACUAUGGGCAAUCUGGGAUCUCAAUGUCCCACAUGGACCUAAGGGCCAACCCCAGUUGGUGAUCCCAGCUGGAGGGAGAACCCAGAGAGACAGCUCUUCUACUACCCCCACAGACCUGCUCUGGACACUUGCUCAUGCCCUGCCAAGCAGCAGAUGGGGAGGGUGCCCUCCUAUCCCCACCUACUCCUGGGUCAGGAGGAAAAGACUACCAGGAGAAUGCACAGUGGGUGGAGCCAAUCCACUCCUUCCUUCCUAUCAUUCCCCUGCCCACCUCCUUCCAGCACUGACUGGAAGGGAAGUUCAGGCUCUGAGACACGCCCCAACAUGCCUGCACCUGCAGCGCGCACACGCACGCACACACACAAACAGAGCUCUCUGAGGGUGAUGGGGCUGAGCAGGAGGGGGGCUGGGUAAGAGCACAGGUUAGGGCAUGGAAGGUUUCUCUGCCCAUUCUGACCCAGGGCCUAGGACGGAUAGGCAGGAACAGACAGACACAUUUACACUAGAGGCCAGGGAUAGAGGAUAUUGGGUCUCAGCCCUGGGGGAAUGGGAAGCAGCUCAAGGGACCCUGGGUGGGAGCACAGGAGGGGUCUGGACAUGUGGUUACUAAUACAAGUUUUGCCCUGAUUAAAAAAUCUCCCAAAGCCCCAAAUUCCUGUUAGCCAGGUGGAGGCUUCUGAUACGUGUAUGAGACUAUGCAAAAGUACAAGGGCUGAGUUUCUUUGUGUAU